Molecule: long non-coding RNA, 3753 nt
Organism: Anas platyrhynchos (mallard)
Lineage: Eukaryota; Metazoa; Chordata; Aves; Anseriformes; Anatidae
Source: RefSeq, a predicted model, not a curated record
ACCUGUGAGAAAGGGGAGACGCAUACAGGAAGCCUUUGCUACAGGCUUUAGAUGAAGCGAUGUGGUUUGGUAAACAUAGAACUUGAUGUGCUUUUUCCCCAUUUUUUUGAUUCAUGCAAAUAGCAGCAAAAAAUCUCAGUGUGCUUUAAUAAGCACCAGCAAUAAUAUUUAUUGCCAGGUGAGGCGUUCAGUCUUCUUGCCUGCUUUUGGCAACUACAGCAAUUAAUUUGGGAACAUUUCUAAGCUGCCUUUUAUGAGCUUUUUUUUCCUGAGUCCUUUGAAAAAAGCCUUAACCACCAGAACAAACUCCUCAUCUCCAUUUUCUGCGUGGGAGUUUGCUUCUUACCUGGCUCCACUGUUAACUUACGGUGUGAUCCUAGGAAUGCCACAAAGUCGCUUAAGCUGACAGUGGUCACCAGGUUAAAAAGAGGGCCUCUCUGGGGAGGGACCAAAAAGGUUCCAUCUAGAAUUCUGCUCUCUGUGGAGAGCUCCCUUUGUGUCCCGCAGGUUUCUGCCCUGAUCAGCCCGGCUCCUCUGAGGCUUGUGCUAGAGCCAGCCUCCGCGCACAGACCAGAAUCGCACCAGAGGUCACCUGCCCUCGUGAGUGGGAAGGGGAACUGCAAGCUCUGAGUUCUGCCUAUCUCCAGAGACACGGACAGCACAGCUUACGUGCCCCGCAGCUGGGAGGAGCUCUGAUUUCUCACCUCAUGUUUUGACUGAGGCAAAUCAAGGAGAGGCCUACCACAGUAUGAUCUGCAAACACAGAUCACAACAAGUACAUGAGUCCGCAUCGCUUCAGGGAGACCUUGUUGCAGGCAGUAUCCAAAGCAUUUGGAAAUUCCUGGAGAGAGAAGUUUAAUUUUGGUGUCCCACCAUCACUUAGUACGUACCUUGUAGAGAGCAUCCACCUUCAGAGUAAAUCCGUCGACUCCAGGCAUGCUGCUCACUGACUGAAACUCGGGCAGCUCAGAAGCGAAGUGGGCAUCAAAAGGCACAUCGUGGAAAUACUUAUCUGUCACCUCGGGCUGGUUGCGGUCCUGGGAAGCAGAGCGGGAGUGCGUGCUGUCAGCAUCAUGCACUGAGACAGCCUUCAGGGGCUGCUUCAGUGGCAGGGUGAAGGAAAGCGAUGGUAAUUUGAAAGCAUGCAAUUAGAGCUGCAUGCAGGCUGGGAGGUAGCUGUAGCUUUAUAUGGCGGAGGAGAAUUCCUGUGUAGCUGAUAAAUAGAUCCUCUAUAUGCUGCCAGUCCUGUCAGCUCCAAGCCAUGGUAUAAACAGAGAUCAAGAGAAUUUUUAAAAGCUUGGUAUACCCCUUUUUUCCUCCCUCAUUUGUUUUUUCUUUAGACUAAGGGAUAAGCUACCCAGUCUGUAAAGAUAAGACCAUGUCUGCCUGGUACUACAAAAAAGCCACCCCAUUUCCCUUCUCAUCCCUUUUUAGUCAGAAUUUGUUUGUGAUAGGGGAAAAAAAACAAAGCAGAAGCAGAGGAGAGCUCUGCAAGCAAAUUGUUUCAGUACGGACCCCUCACAGUGCUCCCUGCUGUGCAGCCUGUCCCCACAAGCAGGCAUAUCAUUUUGCUCCCAGGUCCCUUAGGUUACUGAGAGACAAGACUUAUCCAGACACAAUCACACGUAACGCUCCAUGGUGUGGUUUUGUCCAGGGCAGAAAACUUACCAAGAGGAGAAAUCUGUGUUUCAGGUGCUUGUUGGGUUGAAUGCAGCCAUACUGCGGCCCCUCGUUGUAGACGGUUCCCGUUGGGUCAAAGAAAGGCACGUAGCCAUCCUUGCCCGUGCACAGGUAGACCUUCUCCAGCUGCAGCUUGUAAGCAGCGUUCAGGUUUUGUUCGGGGUUCCAGAGCACGCGGCCAUACAGGAUUUGCCCUGGGGAGGUUGGGAGAACAAGUCAGGUUAAACUCUCCAAGAGACAGCAAGAAGGCGGUGACAGGAAGCUCCACAAACGAAGCACUGUGACAGCCACACACAUCGAGCUGCAGGUGGCUGUGGUUUUGCACAUGUGCGUGUGCAGAUGACAGAAGGCUCUGCCAUGAGCACAUUCUGGUCCUGCUAUCACAGGGCUGUGGAUGUGCCCAAAUACCAUCUGGUGCUGUAAAAGAGGCAAAGCCAAAUCAGAGCUUUAUCCUCCUCUGCCAGAGGAAUGGAAGUUCUGAAAACAGCACCAUGCCAGGAACAGGAAUGAAAAAAAUCCUACCCUUUGAAAAAGCCCCCUUGUAAUCCAUUUCUGCCAGAGACAUUUCGGAUUUGGUGGGAUCCAUCAGAAACACCUUCUCAUUGUUACAGAGCUGAAACUCCGUGUUUAGGGAGUAGACGACAGGAACGGGGCGGUUCGUCUGCUGGAAGGCAAUCGGGAUCAAAAAUCUGAAAUUGGGACAGGAGAGGAAAAAGUGCUCUCACCUCUGAACUUGGCCUGGGUCUUGAACUCGAUAACCAGCCGGCCAUCCUCGCGGAUGUAGAUCCUGAUUAUCUGCAGCCGGGCUGAAAGGACGCUGUCUGUCUGAAUCCCUGUGUGGUGCAGCAAGAACAGAGUCACUGGAGAGGCCACGUGGCACAACAAGUCCCCAGGAGCAGAGAGAACGCCGGCGCUCUCGCUGACGUGGUACGUCUUCCUGUCGAACUGCAGGGUGGGCUCAUCCUCUGCGUCAGUGAUGGUGACCGUGGCCCGGGUGAUGCUCCCCAGCAGCGCGUAGGCUGGCAUGCUGAGCUCCACAGUGAAGCUCUCCGCGCUCUCAAAGACCUCGUCAUCGUUAACAACGAUGGUGCAGGCCUUGGUGUCCUCCCGCUCCUCAAACUGCACCUGCAAGGCAGAAAGCGGGCUGCUCCCUCUGGACUGGGGUCUGAAACUUUCUCUCCUUCCCGCACCACCCUGGCCUCAGUCACACCCUGUGCGUAGGCAGCUCCGUACACCGACCUUAACCAAGGACAAAUGGCUAGCAGAGGCCAAAGGCAGCAGCAAAUGCAGCGUGCAGGCCCCCACCCUUCUGGUCUCAGUCAUGUUUUAGGCUUUCGCAUGGUUGUGAGUGACAUUCCUAUCCAGGCAAGCCUGCGAAGCUUGUAAUCUGUCACAACACUGCUGCAAAACAUAUCUGCCAACAUGAAAUCCUGAUGGAAAAAGGGACCCUCGUCUGAAGGCAAAUAAAACACAUCUUUUUUAGAAAGGAAAUAGUCUCCUCUGUUUUUAUCAGCUUUACUGAGACUAAUAUCACUGGCAUCAUACACUUUACCAGGCAACAGCAUUGCUGGCUCUUGUGUAUGAACACUGAACUUUGCUCAAGGUCAUAGGAUCACAGAACCUACUUAAAUUAAAAGAAAUAUUGCUCAAAGAAGAUAAAAUAUGCUCAAAGUCAUGUCAAUACUUAUAUCAGCAACAGUUACAAAAAUCAGGGGUUAACACAGUACAGGACAAGGCAGAAAAAGGGGUGAUCACCAUUAAAAGUGAGCUUUCUGGAAAAGUGUCAAAAGAGCCUUUGGGGAAAACGAUGUCACUGUGAAUUCCCAGUGCUUUGUUGAGGAUGAUUAACGCAGUCCUCAACUGCAGAGAGAAGGAAAGAAAUGGAAGGAUGGAGGUACCCGGAUCCCAUGCACAGUGCUGGGGAGACAGUGAAAUUCUUUAGGAACUGCUGGUGUCUCUAUGCUAAGGAGUCUGAAGGAAAAAAUGGCCAGGGCCAGGGAAAAAUCCUAACAAUUACUUGUGCAACUACUGUGCAGUCAAAUCUUCAAAUAAAGGCAAAACGAGAGUAAGUUA